CCCUUAGAUGUUCUGGGCUGCACGCGCGCUACACUGAUGCACUCAACGAGUUUACGACCUUGCCCGAUAGGGUUGGGUAAUCUUUUUAAAAUGCAUCGUGAUGGGGAUAGAUUAUUGCAAUUAUUAAUCUUCAACGAGGAAUUCCUAGUGAGCGCGAGUCAUCAGCUCGUGCUGAUUACGUCCCUGCCCUUUGUACACACCGCCCGUCGCUCCUACCGAUUGAGUGCUCAGGUGAAUAAUUCGGACUGCAGCAAUGUUUGGAUCCCGAACGUUGCAGCGGAAAGUUUAGUGAACCUUAUCACUUAGAGGAAGGAGAAGUCGUAACA
RNAcentral lists this ribosomal RNA (326 nucleotides) under uncultured eukaryote. Its description in RNAcentral is "partial 18S ribosomal RNA". It matches the Rfam family "Eukaryotic small subunit ribosomal RNA", at positions 1470 to 1796 of the family's 1831-position model. The record is from RNAcentral.